Molecule: unclassified non-coding RNA, 221 nt
Filed under: uncultured fungus
Lineage: Eukaryota; Fungi
Description: sequence contains ITS1
Source: RNAcentral
GUUUCUCAUUGUUUCUCAUGGUUGGUGUCAGAUGGAUAAUAUAUAAACAGUUGUAAUUCCUCUUCGAGGCAAAGGGGCCCUAUUUGUGGGUUGUCGUUUUCGCUCGUUUGUUUCCCAACAAUCCUGUUGGUCAACUGCAAUAACGUCGGAUGAUUCACCCGAGGUCAAAGCACGAGCCGACUAAUUUUGUAAUGAUCCAACCGCAGGUUCACCUACGGUUA